AGCGUAGGCGGAUUUUUAAGUGAGAUGUGAAAUACUCGGGCUUAACCUGAGUGCUGCAUUUCAAACUGGAAGUCUAGAGUGCAGGAGAGGAGAAGGGAAUUCCUAGUGUAGCGGUGAAAUGCGUAGAGAUUAGGAAGAACACCAGUGGCGAAGGCGCUUCUCUGGACUGUAACUGACGCUGAGGCUGAAAGCGUGGGGGAGCGAACA
Molecule: ribosomal RNA, 207 nt
Filed under: uncultured bacterium
Lineage: Bacteria
Description: partial 16S ribosomal RNA
Rfam family: Bacterial small subunit ribosomal RNA
Source: RNAcentral